UGCAGGAUGCGUUGGCUCCAAGGGUCAUGGCGCAGGACUCAUAAGCCUGAGGUCAGUGGUUCGAUUCCACUUCCCGCUACCA
RNAcentral lists this transfer RNA (82 nucleotides) under Candidatus Pelagibacter ubique HTCC1062. Its description in RNAcentral is "tRNA-Met-CAT-3-1". It matches the Rfam family "tRNA". Rfam says of the family: Transfer RNA (tRNA) molecules are approximately 80 nucleotides in length. Their secondary structure includes four short double-helical elements and three loops (D, anti-codon, and T loops). Lineage: Bacteria; Pseudomonadati; Pseudomonadota; Alphaproteobacteria; Candidatus Pelagibacterales; Candidatus Pelagibacteraceae. The record is from RNAcentral.